Molecule: long non-coding RNA, 791 nt
Organism: Sinocyclocheilus rhinocerous
Lineage: Eukaryota; Metazoa; Chordata; Actinopteri; Cypriniformes; Cyprinidae
Exons: 3
Source: RefSeq, a predicted model, not a curated record
UGCCUCUAUCACGACAGUUCAGAAAUAAUGUCUGGCUCCUCCUUGUGUUUCACAGAACUCGUACCUGAGCGAUGCUGUACCAGCGUUUGCGCCAGCAUCUUAUCGUAGGAACAGAGCUGGAAUCCAAUAUGUUUUGAGACAUGAGCAUCGUCACUGAUGAUCUUCAGACCGUAGCAUACUGAUGCAUUCAAAUAUGUUAUACAUAGAGGUGAACCUGUAUUUCUGUUCUGUGUCAGGAACUUGUCAGACAGUUUUUCCAACAGAGCGGGAAAGCGCUUCAGUAAGCGUGCUUUGAUUGUUUACUCUCUCCAAACCACCAGAGAGCUGAAAGUGUGAAAGUGAAUCUGUGAUCUGUGCCGGUUUGUGAAGGGCAUAAAAGCUUUUAUUAACCUAGAGCUGUGGUCAUGACUUUACUGAGAGACUUCUCAGCGCUUAGGAUGGCCACAGCUCCACAAUGACAAAAACAUCUGCUCGUAAAAAAUGGCAUGGUCAUGUUUAAACUCAGCAGAUGUAACGUUCUCGGCUGAUCGCUGAGCGAGCAGGGCAUCACGACCCUGAGUUUGUCCUUUCGCUGAAUUGUCUGACGUUUUGCACAAAAUCAAGGUCACUCUUAACAAGAGGGCAAAUGAAAUUGACCCUUCUGCACUGUAGAAAUGAAACAAUAAGCCCUCGGUGAAGAUUGAACCUCAGACUGUGCCUCUACGACGGUUUGGUGUUCUUCAUUAUUUGCAGUGAGAUUAAACGCAGUAUUGUUGCAGUUAUCCUGAGUGUGCUCCUUAAACAACAGGGCA